AUGGCCGCCGCCACCUCCACCGUCUCCGGCCUCGCCGGCGCCGCGCUCGCCCGCCGGCCAGCCUUCUCUACCAGCUUCACGAGUGGCGGCCGGGUGUCGGCGAGGAACCCGCUGAUGACGAGGAACCUGGAGAGGAACGGCAGGAUCACCUGCAUGACGUUCCCGCGGGACUGGCUGCGGAGGGACCUGAACGUGAUCGGGUUCGGGCUGAUCGGGUGGCUGGCGCCGUCGAGCAUCCCGCUGAUCAACGGCAACAGCUUGACGGGGCUCUUCUUCUCCAGCAUCGGCGAGGAGCUCGCCCACUUCCCCUCACCCCCGGCUCUCCAGUCGCAGUUCUGGCUGUGGUUGGUGACGUGGCACCUGGGUCUGUUCAUCGCGCUCACCUUCGGCCAGAUCGGGUUCAAGGGCAGGACCGAGGACUACUUCCAGAAGUAG
Molecule: ribosomal RNA, 435 nt
Filed under: Triticum aestivum (bread wheat)
Lineage: Eukaryota; Viridiplantae; Streptophyta; Magnoliopsida; Poales; Poaceae
Description: partial small subunit ribosomal RNA
Source: RNAcentral